This 720-nucleotide ribosomal RNA is filed under the name Bacillus sp. ZK4800. RNAcentral describes it as "bacterial SSU rRNA". It matches the Rfam family "Bacterial small subunit ribosomal RNA", at positions 98 to 803 of the family's 1533-position model. Lineage: Bacteria; Bacillati; Bacillota; Bacilli; Caryophanales; Bacillaceae. The record is from RNAcentral.
GCGGACGGGUGAGUAACACGUGGGCAACCUACCUAUAAGACUGGGACAACUUCGGGAAACCGGAGCUAAUACCGGAUGACACAAAGGAACUCCUGUUCCUUUGUUGAAAGAUGGCUUCGGCUAUCACUUAUAGAUGGGCCCGCGGCGCAUUAGCUAGRUGGUGAGGUAACGGCUCACCAAGGCGACGAUGCGRASCCRACCUGAGAGGGUGAUCGGCCACACUGGGACUGAGACACGGCCCARACUCCUACGGGAGGCAGCAGUAGGGAAUCUUCCGCAAUGGACGAAAGUCUGACGGAGCAACGCCGCGUGAACGAUGAAGGCCUUCGGGUCGYAAAGUUCUGUUGUUAGGGAAGAACAAGUGCUAGUUAAAUAAGCUGGCACCUUGACGGUACCUAACCAGAAAGCCACGGCUAACUACGUGCCAGCAGCCGCGGUAAUACGUAGGUGGCAAGCGUUGUCCGGAAUUAUUGGGCGUAAAGCGCGCGCAGGCGGUUUCUUAAGUCUGAUGUGAAAGCCCCCGGCUCAACCGGGGAGGGUCAUUGGAAACUGGGAAACUUGAGUGCAGAAGAGGAAAGUGGAAUUCCAAGUGUAGCGGUGAAAUGCGUAGAGAUUUGGAGGAACACCAGUGGCGAANGCGACUUUCUGGUCUGUAACUGACGCUGAGGCGCGAAAGCGUGGGGAGCAAACAGGAUUAGAUACCCUGGUAGUCCACGCUGU